RNAcentral lists this ribosomal RNA (1520 nucleotides) under metagenome. Its description in RNAcentral is "bacterial SSU rRNA". It matches the Rfam family "Bacterial small subunit ribosomal RNA". The record is from RNAcentral.
AGGGUUUGAUCCUGGCUCAGAGCGAACGCUGGCGGCGUGGUUUAGGCAUGCAAGUCGAGCGCGAAAGUCCCCUUCGGGGGGCGAGUAGAGCGGCGAAAGGGUGAGUAAUGCAUAGGUAACCUACCCCUGACUCCGGUAUAGCGUCUGGAAAUGGGCGGUAAUUCCGGAUGGUUUUGAGAUUGGGAAUUUGAAUUUGGGUAAAGAUGGGGAUUUUUGGACCUUUCGGUCAGGGAGGGGCCUAUGUCCCAUUAGCUAGUUGGUGAGGUUAUGGCUCACCAAGGCAAUGACGGGUAGCCGGAUUGAGAGGUUGACCGGUCACACUGGGACUGAGACACUGCCCAGACUCCUACGGGAGGCUGCAGUCGAGAAUCAUUCACAAUGUGUGAAAGUGUGAUGAUGCGACGCCGCGUGGAGGAUGAAGGCCUUAGGGUUGUAAACUCCUGUCACGGGUUAUGAAAUGCAGUGCGUUAAUAGCGUGCUGCUUGAUAAAGGCCCGAGAGGAAGUCACGGUUAACUCCGUGCCAGUAGUUGUGGUAAUAUGGAGGUGGCAAGCGUUGCUCGGAAUUACUGGGCAUAAAGGGCGUCUAGGCGGAUCGGUAAGUUGGCUGUGAAAGUUUUUGGUUUAAUUGAGGAAGUGUAGUCAAAACUGCCAGUCUUGAGGGCGAUAGGGGAGAGUGGAACUCCUGGUGGAGUGGUGAAAUGCGUAGAUAUCAGGAGGAACGUUGGUGGUGAAAGUGACUCUCUGGAUCGUCUUUGACGCUGAAGCGCGAAAGCUAGGGGAGUGAACGGGAUUAGAUAUCCCGGUAGUCCUAGCCGUAAACGAUGGGCACUAAGUAGUGGCGUUUUUGAUGACGUCACUGCCGUAGCUAAUGUGUUAAGUGCCCCGCCUGGGGAGUAUGGUCGUAAGGCUAAAACUCAAAGGAAUUGACGGGGGCUCACACAAGCGGUGGAGGAUGUUGCUUAAUUCGAAGCAACGUGAAGAACCUUACCUGGACUUGACAUCGCGGUGGUAGGACCCUGAAAGGGGAACGACCCGGGGCAACCCGGGAGCCGUGACAGGUGUUGCAUGGCUUUCGUCAGCUCGUGCCGUGAGGUGUUGGGUUAAGUCCCGUAACGAGCGAAACCCUUGUCGUUAGUUGCCAGCGGGUAAUGCCGGGGACUCUAGCGAGACUGCCGGUGUUAAACCGGAGGAAGGUGGGGACGACGUCAAGUCAUCAUGGUCCUUACGUCCAGGGCUGCAAACGUCCUACAAUGGCGUGUACAGAGGGAAGCGAGCCUGUAAAGGUAAGCCAAUCCCACAAAGCACGUCUCAGUCCGGAUUGUGGGCUGAAAUUUGCCCACAUGAAGUCGGAAUCGCUAGUAAUCGCGGAUUAGUAUGCCGCGGUGAAUAUGUUCCUGAGCCUUGUAUAUACCGCCCGUCAAGCCACGGAAGCCGGGAGUGCCCGAAGCCCGUGACCCAACCUUAGGGAGGGAGUGGUCGACGGUAAAUCCGGUGACUGGGACUAAGUCGUAAUAAGGUA